UAUGCUACAAUUCACCAUGAACUCCAAUAAAAAUUGGGAAUGAAAUCUUUCCAUAAAUUCAUGGCGAAUUUCUCUCUCUUGGUGGGAGAUAGAGCAAAGAGGAUGCCUUGAACAGGUAUCCGAGCGCAGGAACAUCCCCUAUAACUGUCUCCACUUGGGAUUGGGCGACAGCUUCACCGAGCUGGCCACCUUCCCUCCUCUACAAGCUCAGCUCCGACACCAACCUAGCUUCUCCCCUCACGUGGCCAAACUCCCAACCACAGCAUUGGCCGAAUUCCGGCGACGUUCUCUGUUGAAGAUGAGGCCACAGGAAUCACCACCGAGCCCAAGCGUUGCCCUCCAUAUCUCACCAAGUCGAGAAGAAAUGAAGAGGCUCGCGAAGGAGGAAGACCCACUCACAAAGUUACCAAAACUCGUUCAUUAUCAUUGGCCGCAAGGAGAAGGCGCCAUUCGAGGGGAGUGAAGGGUUGCAGGAUUUGCUUCCAGCCUGGCCUCGAAGAGGUGCAAUUUCUCGAUUUUAGUGGCACGUUUAGGACCCCCUUGAUGUGUUGAUGUUGUGUUUGGUGAUAACUUGGAGAAUGAUCACAAAGUGAGUGUGACAAAAUUGUGACGAUGUGCGGACCAUUAAACUCCUUUUUAUAAAGUUUUACUACGGUUCCAAUUCA
Punica granatum (pomegranate) is the source of this 665-nucleotide non-coding RNA. NCBI's taxonomy places the organism in Eukaryota, Viridiplantae, Streptophyta, Magnoliopsida, Myrtales, Lythraceae. The record is from RefSeq and is a predicted model, not a curated record.